RNAcentral lists this long non-coding RNA (581 nucleotides) under Capra hircus (goat). RNAcentral's name for it is "lncRNA (ENSCHIG00010001535.1)". Lineage: Eukaryota; Metazoa; Chordata; Mammalia; Artiodactyla; Bovidae. The record is from RNAcentral.
UGUCCAACUAGUGCAACCCAGGACGGGCAGAACCCGGCCCCACCCGCCUGGGGCCACCAGGAGGUGUCACUGCCUGGGCUUGUGUGCCUUCUCUCCUGAUACUUCUGUGCCUGGUACAGAGCCUGCCAGGGGGCAGGCGCUUGAUGAUCAAUUUGUUGAGCAAAUGAAGCAAACCUGGCAAGUGGCCAAGGUCCCAGCUCCAUCCCUGGUGCGUUGCCUGGCAUUCUGUCCCUGAGGGCCCUUCUUCCUGCACUGAACCCCCUCCGGCUCUGAAGGAAGUGGGUACCCACCCCAACCUGUAUGGGAAGGACUUUGUCCAUUUGCUGGGGACUUACUGCACGCCAGGACCCCAGGCUGGAAGUGCAAUGAGCAUCUUCAUGUUACGGAGGUGGACUGAAGAUCAGAGAGGAAAAGACUUGCCCAAGGCCACCCAGCAGCCCCCAGGAUUCUAACUCAUCUGUCCUUGCGGAUUCUGAAGGCUGGGCUUUUAUUUAUGACACCAUCCUGGGCCCCUUAUGCUGGGGUCGUGCUUCAACAGCCAGGUAUGAUAAGUGGGUGCCUCUUCAUUCCCUGCUCUAGCG